GAUGAACGCUGGCGGCGUGCCUAAUACAUGCAAGUCGAACGCUGGAGAUCUAGCUUGCUAGAUCGAAGGAGUGGCGAACGGGUGAGUAAUACAUAAGCAACCUACCCACGAAGACUGGGAUAAUCUCUGGAAACGGGGACUAAUACCGGAUAGGUAAUCGGAAGGCAUCUUCUGGUUAUUAAAGGUUAAACACACUGGUGGAUGGGCUUAUGGCGCAUUAGUUAGUUGGUGAGGUAACGGCCCACCAAGACGAUGAUGCGUAGCCGGCCUGAGAGGGUGAACGGCCACAUUGGGACUGAGACACGGCCCAGACUCCUACGGGAGGCAGCAGUAGGGAAUUUUCGGCAAUGGGGGCAACCCUGACCGAGCAACGCCGCGUGAGUGAAGACGGCCUUCGGGUUGUAAAGCUCUGUUGUAAGGGAAGAACGGUAGAUAGAGAAUAUCUAAGUGACGGUACCUUACCAGAAAGCCACGGCUAACUACGUG
This 486-nucleotide ribosomal RNA is filed under the name uncultured bacterium. RNAcentral's name for it is "partial 16S ribosomal RNA". It matches the Rfam family "Bacterial small subunit ribosomal RNA", at positions 28 to 507 of the family's 1533-position model. The record is from RNAcentral.